This 72-nucleotide transfer RNA is filed under the name Brachylophus fasciatus (banded iguana). RNAcentral describes it as "tRNA-Trp". It matches the Rfam family "tRNA". Rfam says of the family: Transfer RNA (tRNA) molecules are approximately 80 nucleotides in length. Their secondary structure includes four short double-helical elements and three loops (D, anti-codon, and T loops). Lineage: Eukaryota; Metazoa; Chordata; Lepidosauria; Squamata; Iguanidae. The record is from RNAcentral.
AGAAACUUAGGCUAAAUACUAAACCAAGGGCCUUCAAAGCCCCAAACAGAGGUGAAAUCCCCCUAGUUUCUG